AUUCCAGCUCCAAUAGCGUAUAUUAAAGUUGUUGCAGUUAAAAAGCUCGUAGUUGGAUUUGUGGCCGGUGUAUUGUUGUUGGUGACUUUGUUGCUUGACGACGUGUGCUGGCCAUCCUUGGGUGUAGCCUGUGUGGCAUUAAGUUGUCGUGCGGGUGUUGCCCAUCGUUUACUGUGAAAAAAUUAGAGUGUUCAAAGCAGGCUUAUGCCUUCUGAAUAUAUUAGCAUGGAAUAAUAGGAUAGGACCUUGGUACUAUUUUGUUGGUUUGCGCGCCUUGGUAAUGAUUAAGAGGGACAGUUGGGGGUAUUCGUAUUCAAUUGUCAGAGGUGAAAUUCUUGGAUUUCUGGAAGACGAACUACUGCGAAAGCAUUUACCAAGGAUGUUUUCAUUAAUCAAGAACGAAAGUUAGGGGAUCGAAGAUGAUUAGAUACCAUCGUAGUCGUCA
Molecule: ribosomal RNA, 445 nt
Filed under: Attheya decora
Lineage: Eukaryota; Bacillariophyta; Biddulphiophyceae; Attheyales; Attheyaceae
Description: bacterial SSU rRNA
Rfam family: Eukaryotic small subunit ribosomal RNA
Source: RNAcentral